GCCUCGGUGGCGAAAUUGGUAGCCGCAGCGGACUUAAAAUCCGCCGCCUGUAAUGGGCUUACGGGUUCGAGUCCCGUCCGAGGUACUA
RNAcentral lists this transfer RNA (88 nucleotides) under Alloscardovia theropitheci. Its description in RNAcentral is "Alloscardovia sp. GLDI4/2 tRNA-Leu". It matches the Rfam family "tRNA". Rfam says of the family: Transfer RNA (tRNA) molecules are approximately 80 nucleotides in length. Their secondary structure includes four short double-helical elements and three loops (D, anti-codon, and T loops). The record is from RNAcentral. Lineage: Bacteria; Bacillati; Actinomycetota; Actinomycetes; Bifidobacteriales; Bifidobacteriaceae.